Molecule: antisense RNA, 75 nt
Filed under: Streptomycetaceae bacterium MP113-05
Lineage: Bacteria; Bacillati; Actinomycetota; Actinomycetes; Kitasatosporales; Streptomycetaceae
Description: ASpks TB sRNA
Rfam family: ASpks TB sRNA
Source: Rfam by way of RNAcentral
CUUGACCGAUCCGAGCCACAGCGGACGGUCCGCCUCCCGCUCCCGCCCGUAGGUGGCGAGCAGCGCCUGCGCCUC